GUCACAGGACAGAUUUAUUCUCCUUUCUUUUCUUGCCUAUAUUUUCUGUUAUUGAUUUCCCCAUUUGUUUAUUCGGUGUGACAUUGUUUACUAACUUAAUUACGCCUCAAAACCUCAAUUCCAACCACUUUCUUGAGACAUCCGCAUUGAUACUGCUAAAAAGGUCUUACAUCAUCACAGCGAUGAAGCAAAAAGUGAUAUAUAUCGAGACUUCAAAGCUUCUAUUAUCUUACUUGACUCAGUAUAAGAAUUACAUUGCAAAACUUUCUGAUUUUGGCUUGGCAAAAGGAUGGCCCGACAGGUCAUUACAAAGGUAAUGGUCACAUAUUGCUAUGCUGCUCCGGAAUAUAUAUGACCACAGGUGAUCAUCAUCAUGGGGAUGUUGGUGAUGAGGCUUAA
Cajanus cajan (pigeon pea) is the source of this 399-nucleotide long non-coding RNA. RefSeq lists it as uncharacterized. Lineage: Eukaryota; Viridiplantae; Streptophyta; Magnoliopsida; Fabales; Fabaceae. The record is from RefSeq and is a predicted model, not a curated record.